RNAcentral lists this ribosomal RNA (1296 nucleotides) under uncultured bacterium. RNAcentral's name for it is "partial 16S rRNA". It matches the Rfam family "Bacterial small subunit ribosomal RNA", at positions 102 to 1397 of the family's 1533-position model. The record is from RNAcentral.
ACGGGUGAGUAAUAUAUCGGAACGUGCCCUAGAGUGGGGGAUAACUAGUCGAAAGACUAGCUAAUACCGCAUACGAUCUACGGAUGAAAGUGGGGGAUCGCAAGACCUCAUGCUCCUGGAGCGGCCGAUAUCUGAUUAGCUAGUUGGUGGGGUAAAGGCCUACCAAGGCAACGAUCAGUAGCUGGUCUGAGAGGACGACCAGCCACACUGGGACUGAGACACGGCCCAGACUCCUACGGGAGGCAGCAGUGGGGAAUAUUGCACAAUGGAGGGAACUCUGAUGCAGCAACGCCGCGUGGAGGAUGACGCAUUUCGGUGUGUAAACUCCUUUUAUAUGUCAAGAAAAUGACGGUAGCAUAUGAAUAAGCACCGGCUAACUUCCGUGCCAGCAGCCGCGGUAAUACGGAGGGUGCAAGCGUUACUCGGAAUCACUGGGCGUAAAGGACGCGUAGGCUGGCGGUCAAGUCUGAUGUGAAAUCCUUACAGCUUAACUGUAGAACUGCAUUGGAAACUGACCGCCUAGAGUAUGGGAGGGGGAGAUGGAAUUAGUGGUGUAGGGGGUAAAAUCCGUAGAUAUCACUAGGAAUACCUAAAGCGAAGGCGAUCUCCUGGAACAUUACUGACGCUAAGGCGUGAAAGCGUGGGGAGCAAACGGGAUUAGAUACCCCGGUAGUCCACGCCCUAAACGAUGAACACUAGUCGUCGGGAAGCUUGUCUUCUCGGUGAUGCACUUAACAGAUUAAGUGUUCCGCCUGGGGAGUACGGUCGCAAGAUUAAAACUCAAAGGAAUAGACGGGGACCCGCACAAGUGGUGGAGCAUGUGGUUUAAUUCGACGAUACGCGAAGAACCUUACCUGGCCUUGACAUUGAUUGAAUACACCAGAGAUGGAGUAGUGCCCUUCGGGGAGCAUGAAAACAGGUGCUGCACGGCUGUCGUCAGCUCGUGUCGUGAGAUGUUGGGUUAAGUCCCGCAACGAGCGCAACCCCUCGUCCUUAGUUUGCCAGCAGGUUUAAGCCUGGGCACUUCUAGGGGAGACUGCCCUUCGCUAAGGAGGAAGGAAGGUGAGGGACGACGGUCAAGUCAUCAUGGCCCCUUACGGCCAGGGCUACACACGUGCUACAAUGGGGCGUACAGAGGGUUGCGAUAUCCGCGAGGUGGAGCUAAUCACUUAAAGCCGUCUCCCAGUUCGGAUGGAAGUCUGCAGACUCCGACUCCAUGAAGCUGGAAUCACUAAUAAUCGUAGAUCAGCAAUGCCCCGGGGAAUACGUUCCCGGGUCUUGUACCUCACCGCCCGU